RNAcentral lists this ribosomal RNA (460 nucleotides) under uncultured bacterium. RNAcentral's name for it is "partial 16S ribosomal RNA". It matches the Rfam family "Bacterial small subunit ribosomal RNA", at positions 338 to 795 of the family's 1533-position model. The record is from RNAcentral.
CCUACGGGCGGCAGCAGUGAGGAAUAUUGGUCAAUGGACGAGAGUCUGAACCAGCCAAGUAGCGUGAAGGAUGACUGCCCUAUGGGUUGUAAACUUCCUUUAUAUGGGAAUAAAAUGUUCCACGUGUGGGAUUUUGUAUGUACCAUAUGAAUAAGGAUCGGCUAACUCCGUGCCAGCAGCCGCGGUAAUACGGAGGAUCCGAGCGUUAUCCGGAUUUAUUGGGUUUAAAGGGAGCGUAGGUGGAUUGUUAAGUCAGUUGUGAAAGUUUGCGGCUCAACCGUAAAAUUGCAGUUGAAACUGGCAGUCUUGAGUACAGUAGAGGUGGGCGGAAUUCGUGGUGUAGCGGUGAAAUGCUUAGAUAUCACGAAGAACUCCGAUUGCGAAGGCAGUUCACUGGACUGCAACUGACACUGAGGCUCGAAAGUGUGGGUAUCAAACAGGAUUAGAUACCCCUGUAGUC